UACAGAGGGUGCAAGCGUUAAUCGGAAUUACUGGGCGUAAAGAGUGCGUAGGUGGUUAGGUAAGUUAGAUGUGAAAUCCCUGGGCUCAACCUAGGAACUGCGUUUAAAACUGCUUAGCUAGAGUAUUGUAGAGGAUAGUGGAAUUUCCAGUGUAGCGGUGAAAUGCGUAGAUAUCGUAAGGAAGACCAGUGGCGAAGGCGAGUCCCUGGACAGCAACUGACGCUGAGGCACGAAGGCCAGGGGAGCAAACGGG
RNAcentral lists this ribosomal RNA (253 nucleotides) under uncultured bacterium. RNAcentral's name for it is "partial 16S ribosomal RNA". It matches the Rfam family "Bacterial small subunit ribosomal RNA", at positions 524 to 776 of the family's 1533-position model. The record is from RNAcentral.